UACGUAGGGGGCUAGCGUUGUCCGGAUUUAUUGGGCGUAAAGCGCGCGUAGGCGGCUACCUAAGUCGGAUGUGAAAGCCCCUGGCUCAACUGGGGAAGUGCACCCGAAACUGGAUAGCUUGAGUGCGAAAGAGGGUCGCGGAAUUCCCGGUGUAGAGGUGAAAUUCGUAGAUAUCGGGAGGAACACCUAUGGCGAAGGCAGCUCGCUGGGACGUUACUGACGCUGAGACGCGAAAGCGUGGGGAGCAAACAGG
RNAcentral lists this ribosomal RNA (253 nucleotides) under uncultured bacterium. Its description in RNAcentral is "partial 16S ribosomal RNA". It matches the Rfam family "Bacterial small subunit ribosomal RNA", at positions 524 to 776 of the family's 1533-position model. The record is from RNAcentral.